UACGUAGGGAGCAAGCGUUGUCCGGAAUCAUUGGGCGUAAAGCGCGCGUAGGCGGCCCGAUAAGUCCGCUGUGAAAGUCAACGGCUCAACUGUUGGAUGCCGGUGGAUACUGUCGGGCUAGAGUACGGAAGAGGCAAGUGGAAUUCCUGGUGUAGCGGUGGAAUGCGCAGAUAUCAGGAGGAACACCUAUAGCGAAGGCAGCUUGCUGGACGUUACUGACGCUAAGGCGCGAAAGCGUGGGGAGCGAACAGG
This 252-nucleotide ribosomal RNA is filed under the name uncultured bacterium. RNAcentral describes it as "partial 16S ribosomal RNA". It matches the Rfam family "Bacterial small subunit ribosomal RNA", at positions 524 to 776 of the family's 1533-position model. The record is from RNAcentral.